RNAcentral lists this ribosomal RNA (459 nucleotides) under uncultured bacterium. RNAcentral's name for it is "partial 16S ribosomal RNA". It matches the Rfam family "Bacterial small subunit ribosomal RNA", at positions 338 to 795 of the family's 1533-position model. The record is from RNAcentral.
CCUACGGGUGGCAGCAGUGAGGAAUAUUGGUCCAUGGUCGGGAGACUGAACCAGCCAAGCCGCGUGAGGGAUGAAGGUACAGAGUAUCGUAAACCUCUUUUGUCAGGGAACAAAGGCGGGGACGUGUCCCCGGAUGAGUGUACCUGAAGAAAAAGCAUCGACUAACUCCGUGCCAGCAGCCGCGGUAAUACGGAGGAUGCGAGCGUUAUCCGGAUUUAUUGGGUUUAAAGGGUGCGCAGGCGGUCUGUUAAGUCAGAGGUAAAAGCCCGGGGCUCAACCCCGGCCCGCCGUUGAAACUGGCAGUCUCGAGUUGGAGAGAAGUAUGCGGAAUGCGCGGUGUAGCGGUGAAAUGCAUAGAUAUCGCGCAGAACUCCGAUUGCGAAGGCAGUAUGCCGGCUCCACACUGACGCUGAGGCUCGAAAGCGCGGGUAUCGAACAGGAUUAGAUACCCCAGUAGUC